RNAcentral lists this RNase P RNA (346 nucleotides) under Lentisphaerota bacterium. RNAcentral's name for it is "Lentisphaerae bacterium (feces metagenome) RNase P RNA component class A". It matches the Rfam family "Bacterial RNase P class A". From Rfam's summary of the family: Ribonuclease P (RNase P) is a ubiquitous endoribonuclease, found in archaea, bacteria and eukarya as well as chloroplasts and mitochondria. Its best characterised activity is the generation of mature 5'-ends of tRNAs by cleaving the 5'-leader elements of precursor-tRNAs. The record is from RNAcentral. Lineage: Bacteria; Pseudomonadati; Lentisphaerota.
GGAGAUGGGGCGGCGGUCGCUUUGCAUUGCAAAGAGGAAAGUCCGGACCCCACAGAGCAGGGACUCCUCCCGUAAUAGGAGGAUGCCGCGGACAAUAUGCCGCGGAAAGGAAAGCGCAACAGAAAGGAAACCGCCUGAUUCGUCAGGUAAGGGUGAAACGGCGGGGUAAGAGCCCGCAUCCGGCAGGAGUAAUCCGGCAGGAAAGGCAAGCCCGUCCCGGAGCAAGGCCAAAUAGGGAAUGAGCUGUUGCUCGCAGCGUUUGAAUUCCGGGUUCUGGCCGCACAGACAGAUGAUCGCCGCUUCCUUCGGGAAGUUACAGAAUCCGGCUUAUGCCCCAUCUCCGCUU